AGGAUCAUUAACGCGCAGGCCGCAGACGACCCUCCCCCGGGCUCUUCCGGGGGAGGUGGCGCCGGCCACACGCCCAUUCUUGUCUAUCUACCUGGUUGCCUCGGCGGACCGCGCCCCUCGUGCCGCGUCUCGAGGAGCCGUUCGGGGGGGAGGAACCCCCUGGACCGCGUCCGCCGGAGGAGCGAUUAAAACCCAUGAAUACGGUUCAGUCUGAGCGUUAGCAAGUAAAAUCAGUUAAAACUUUCAACAACGGAUCUCUUGGUUCCGGCAUCGAUGAAGAACGCAGCGAAAUGCGAUAAGUAAUGUGAAUUGCAGAAUUCCGUGAAUCAUCGAAUCUUUGAACGCACAUUGCGCCCUCUGGUAUUCCGGGGGGUAUGCCUGUUCGAGCGUCAUUUCAACCCCUCAAGCCCGGCUUGCGUGAUGGACGACCGUCCCGACCCUCCCCGCCUCGGGGAGGGGGGACGCGCCCGAAAAGCAGUGGCCAGGCCGCGAUUCCGGCUCCUGGGCGAAUGGGCAACAAACCAGCGCCUCUAGGACCCGGCCGGCUCUCUGGCCUAGUUUUGGUCAAGGACUCGCUCCUUCACAAUCAGGUUGACCUCGGAUCAGGUAGGGAUACCCGCUGAACUUAAGCAUAUCAAUAAGCGGAGGAAAAGAAACCAACAGGGAUUGCCCCAGUAACGGCGAGUGAAGCGGCAAGAGCUCAAAUUUGAAAUCUGGCCUCCUUCGGGGGUCCGAGUUGUAAUUUGUAGAGGAUGCUUCGGGUGUGGCCGCCGUCUAAGUUCCUUGGAACAGGACGUCAGAGAGGGUGAGAAUCCCGUCUUGGGCGGCCGGUCCGCGCCCGUGUGAAGCUCCUUCGACGAGUCGAGUUGUUUGGGAAUGCAGCUCUAAGCGGGUGGUAAAUUUCAUCUAAAGCUAAAUACUGGUCGGAGACCGAUAGCGCACAAGUAGAGUGAUCGAAAGGUUAAAAGCACCUUGAAAAGGGAGUUAAACAGCACGUGAAAUUGUUGAAAGGGAAGCGCUUGCGGCCAGACUCGGGGGCGGGGUUCAGCGGGCGCUCGUCGCCCGUGUACUCCCCGUCUCCCGGGCCAGCAUCAGUUUCGACGGCCGGUCAAAGGCCCCCGGAAUGUGUCGUCUCUCGGGACGUCUUAUAGCCGGGGGUGCAAUGCGGCCCGUCGGGACUGAGGAACGCG
This 1190-nucleotide small RNA is filed under the name Nannizzia persicolor. RNAcentral describes it as "eukaryotic LSU rRNA". The stretch from base 593 to 1190 matches the Rfam family "Eukaryotic large subunit ribosomal RNA", at positions 1 to 600 of the family's 3401-position model. The record is from RNAcentral. Lineage: Eukaryota; Fungi; Ascomycota; Eurotiomycetes; Onygenales; Arthrodermataceae.